This 3970-nucleotide long non-coding RNA is filed under the name Homo sapiens (human). RNAcentral's name for it is "HSALNT0150284". Lineage: Eukaryota; Metazoa; Chordata; Mammalia; Primates; Hominidae. The record is from RNAcentral.
CCGCCAUCUGUUGAUAUCUUCCUAAUCUGUAUCUUCAAAAUAGACUUCUAUUUCAGACUUGUAUAAUUUAAUGGGAAGCAGAUGUCUCACAGACACCUCAAGCUCAACGUCCUGUUCCCACCCUCUCACUUUCUAUUGAAACUGUCUCUGCUGUCUGUACUCCCUUCCUUGUUCUUUUGCACCUGGACUAGACAGAAGACUACAGUUCAAUAAGAAGGAAACACAUUCAUUUUCAGUAUUGUUAAUAAAGAAGCUUACCUAAAAGAAGGAAAUCAAAACAAGAUAAUCUACACUGCAACUAGGGGAGGCUAUUGAAUGUGAUGGUCCCCUCAGAUGCCUAGAGGAAGAUGAACAAUGGUAAUCAGAUAUCCUAAAGUUAUCUUUAGGGCACUGGCAAAAUAGCAGCAAUGCCUGGUGGAAGCUGACUUUGUGCAUACACAUGAGAGCCCACAGAAAACUUCAAACUUCAUGGAAAUAAAACCUUCAGCUGCAGCUAAGAAUUUGGAGGUUACUGAAGGAGGUUACUUUUUCAAGAGCAGAAGUAAGGAUUCCACUGAAUUUGCUCACCAAAGAUAAGUCAGCAAAGAAAACUUACUGAAGAAUACAGACAGCAUAUCAGCUCCUGCUUUCCAGACAAACUUCCUGGGUCUUGGGAAGAAGAAAGCCUCAGACUAAGAACUCUCUCUGGACUCAGACAGCCUGAAUUCAAAUCCCAUCUCUAUUCUUACUAGUCAUAUGAACACAGGAGAACCAUAUCCAUUCAGCUCACUUUGGACCACCUGUGGAGCCUGAUAACCAGGGAACAGAGAACCUGUUGAGAUCCAAAUUUGUGUGCCAGAUCACAAACUCAUCUGAAGCAGAUGCCACGUGUUACACUGUUAUGUCUCUCAGAGACUCCAGCACUUUGAAAGUAUUAGGCCUUGCUUAUUGAGAUGAAUAUUUUUUUCUAGGCAUGUCCCAAAGUUCUCAGCAUAGCUACAACCCUGAUUUUCACAGGAUUUUCAUUAAAAUUAGGUUCUAGAGCAUUACUUCCCUAAUGUGCAAUGCAACUUACGUUUAGUUUUCAAAUCAAAAUUAGUUUUGUUUUUCCACUGUCUUUGUCUUUGAAAAUAUUGAACUUGGGAUUUCCAAAAUUAUAAUUAGCAAUUAUUUUUACAUAUCUUUUAUAUACAUAACUUUUACAAUGGCUGCCAUUAUCAUGUAGGUUCUUAGGAAGUGUUUCUGAUCCUUGUAAAUAAAAGUGAAAGAAGAAAUCUUUACUGCUUGCUGACCCAUGUGACUAACCUUGAAAUCAGAGAGGCAGAUUCAUUUAAAACAAACUUGCAAACUGUUAAGCAAAGUACUGAAUCUCUGUGACUUGACCAAAAGUAAUUCAGACUUGACUAUUCCAGGCUCCCUUCUAUCUCUGUAGCAACCCAUGCAUCAUAGACUCCAGUUGCAAUGGAUGGUCAAGGAAUCUGCUGUGCCUUUUGAGUCUCUCCAUUUUAUAUUGCCAAAUUUAUCUUCCUUUAAUACUUCACUUCACAUAAGACACUAAGAUAAACAAGGAUGCAACUCACUUAUAUUUCAAAAUAGUACCUAGUGGUUAAAAGUACUUGUUCUGAAAGCAACUCUAUUUUUCUAGUUCUAACAUGUCUCCAACUAGUUAUCUCACCUUGAGCUUGGCACAUAAUCACUCCAUCUUACUUUUGCAUCUGUGACACAAGAAAAAUACCACCCACCUCAACAUAGAUCUUAUGAAGAUUAAAAUAAGAUUAUGAAAGUAAAAUGCUCAGCACAAUGUCUAAACGAAAAUAAAUGCUCAGCAAGUAGGAGCUACUAUAAUUAUUAUCCAGAUCAAAUAUUUUCUCCUCUAUGAAGCUUUCUUAUUCUUCCCCAGCUGGAAUUACUUAUUUUCUUCCUUGCUUUCUACACCACACUUUAGUCACCACCAUGCUGGCACUUGUCUCACCGCAUUAUAAUUAUUUAUGUGCCUGUGUUCCAUAACCAGAAUAUGGGACUUAAGCUUCUUUAUACCUCCAGCAUAAUUGUUUCAUGUGUGCUUUUAGGUAAUGGAGUAAAAUGGAUGAAUGAGUGAAUGCGACUAUAGUACUAAAUGCUCUUAGAUAAAGAUGUAAUUAUUCUUAAGUGAUAAAAUUAUUCGAACAUGAGUAGUUCAGAUAAUGAGAGACUGUCAUAGAAUUACUUGAUAAAAUCUAGUCAAUAAAAUGGCUUGGCAAUAUAACCUUUAUGAUUUCUUUAAACAAUCAUUCAUUUCUUUCUGAAGAUGAGAAGAGGAGAUUCCUUCUCCCAUCUUUAUAUUUCAACAAUGAUUAGAAAACAAAUUGAUCUCUGGGAUCAGUGCCCAAUACCAUUAAAGUGGUAUACAUCUUACAAUUCUUAAUUAAUUUGUGGCAUACAUAUACCAGUCUCCACAGCCAGCUUCAUCUGCAUACAGCAGCAUAAUCACUUUUUUCCUUAUAGUAAAGACAUAUUAUGAGUCAUCAAAGUCUUCUCCGGGGGUUGUGGUUAUCAUCUGGUAAUCACACCCUUGGGAGGUUAAAAACACUUAUCUUUGGAUCAUGACUUGCAAUGCCCCAGGGGUGUGAUUAUCUCAGGCAACUCACACUUUCUGUCAUGCCUAAUUGCUUAAUUAUUAUAGCUGCAAGUUCACACCACCAUACAGGAACUCAUGUUGUGUCAGCAUUUCCACUAUAAAUUCCUUUUUCAAGAGUCUAUAACUCAGCCAUAAAAAAAAAAAAAAAAAAAACCUAUGGUCCAUUGAAGCACUGCAGUAAGAGUCUUAUUCCAGGAAACAUUUCUGUAAUAGGUUAAUUGUAUCUUAAAAAUUGGGUCCUGAUUCUCAUAGUUAGUUCACCAAAGAAAUAAAUGCUAAUUAAAUGUCUCUAAAUUAUAUAUUUUUCUGUAUGGCUGGGUAAAUAAUGUAAAUCCUAAAGACAUAAAUAUUAUUUUUUAAAUAUAACAAGAAUGGCUCAUACAAUUUCCAGUUUUUUGGAAAUACACUUACACAUAUUUAUAAAAUAUUAUAUAAGUAGAAUGAGCUAAACCAUAGUUAGAGAACAUUGUCAUAUGCAAUCAUGUACUACAUAAUAUUUCAGUCAGUGGACAGCAUGUGGCAGUGGUCACAUAAGAUUAUAACGCAGCUGAAAAAUUCCUGUUGUCUAAUGACAUCAUGGCUGUCAUAACUGUCAUGGCCGUCAUGGCCAUCUGAACAUUGUAGUACAAUGUAUUCCUCAUGUGUUUGUGGUGAUGCUGAUGUAAACAAGCAUCUGCACUGCCAGUUGUAUAAAAGUGUAGCACAUACAAUUAUGUACAUACAAUUAUGCACACACAAUUAUGUACAACACAUAAUAUUUUAUAAUGACAAUAAACAAUUUUGUUACCGGUUUAUGUAUUCACUGUACUAUACCUUUCAUCAUUAUUUUAGAGUGUACUCUUUCUACUUAUAUAUAAAAAAAAGUUAAUUGUAAAACAGCCUCUAGCAGGUCCUUCAGGACAUAUUCCAGAAGAAGGCAUUGUUAUCAUAGGAGAUGACGGUUCCAUGCGUGUUAUUGCCCCUGAAGACCUUCCAGUGGGUCAAGAUAUGGAGGUGAAAGACAGUGAUAUUGAUGAUCCUGACCCUGCGUAGGCCAAGUUUUCUUGACUUCACUUAAUCUGCUGGAAGCUGAUCCUUUUCAUGUCCAUGUUUAAGGAAGCGUUGAAGGUCACGUCACUCAAAGCCAACAUCAGCAGGCAUCCUACCAAGAUAAUCUCUGAAGAGGUCAGAGGUGAGAAUGACACAGAGAAGAGGCAGAUUUUACCAGUCCAGUUCAAGGAAUUUCUCACUCUUUCUUAUAAGGGAACUCUUUUCAAUAGAAAAGGAAAGGUUGCCAGUAAAAAGACAAUGGAAUUCCUUCCAUUUUAUGUAGAUUUAUUUUUUUUCAUGAGAAAAAGGAAUAAAGCAUUUAUUUUCUCAGUGUUUUAAGGGAAG